CCUACGGGUGGCAGCAGUGAGGAAUAUUGGUCAAUGGUCGGGAGACUGAACCAGCCAAGCCGCGUGAGGGAGGAAGGUACAGAGUAUCGUACACCUCUUUUGUCAGGGAACAAAGACUGGGACGCGUCCCCGGAUGAGUGUAUCUGAAGAAAAAGCAUCGGCUAACCCCGUGCAAGCAGCCGCGGUAAUACGGAGGAUGCGAGCGAUAUCCGGAGUUAUUGGGUUGAAAGGGGGCGCAGGCGGUCUGUUAAGUGAGCGGUCAAAGCCCGGGGCUCAACCCCGGCCCGCCGUUGAAACUGGCAGUCUCGAGUUGGAGAGAAGUAUGCGGAAUGCGCGGUGUAGCGGUGAAAUGCAUAGAUAUCGCGCAGAACUCCGAUUGCGAAGGCAGCAUGCCGGCUCCACACUGACGCUGAGGCACGAAAGCGUGGGUAUCGAACAGGAUUAGAUACCCCAGUAGUC
RNAcentral lists this ribosomal RNA (459 nucleotides) under uncultured bacterium. RNAcentral describes it as "partial 16S ribosomal RNA". It matches the Rfam family "Bacterial small subunit ribosomal RNA", at positions 338 to 795 of the family's 1533-position model. The record is from RNAcentral.